Molecule: non-coding RNA, 73 nt
Organism: Podarcis lilfordi (Lilford's wall lizard)
Lineage: Eukaryota; Metazoa; Chordata; Lepidosauria; Squamata; Lacertidae
Source: the annotation of a GenBank genome assembly
GAGAUAGCCCAGUCGGUAGAGCAUGAGACUCUUAACCUCAGGGUUGUGGGUUUGAGCUCCACGUUGGGCAACA